Stomoxys calcitrans (stable fly) is the source of this 1104-nucleotide long non-coding RNA. RefSeq lists it as uncharacterized. NCBI's taxonomy places the organism in Eukaryota, Metazoa, Arthropoda, Insecta, Diptera, Muscidae. The transcript is spliced from 2 exons. The record is from RefSeq and is a predicted model, not a curated record.
AAACAAUUAUUCGAAAAAUCUUUAUAAACUAAAUUUAAAAUUGAAAUGAAUAGAAUAGAAACUUUAAUUUUCUAAAACCUUAUUUAUGAAAUAGUUUCUUUUUAUUAAUUGCUUAUUGCUUUCCAAUAUUUUUAUGCCGCCGGUUUCUCGUCCACCACAUAAAAAAAAAGAGAUAUUUUGACAUAACUUAUCGCCAUCUGGAAGAUCAUGCUACACGGAUGGAUCAAAGCUAGAGAACAGAGUGUGCCUGGGGGUCCACGUUAAGAAAGCAGGGACUGAGAUCUGUUUUAGACUGCCUGAUCAUAAUACGGCCCUGCAGACGGAGAUUCGGGCGAUAACAAAAUUCGUGAGGAAGUGAACAUCAUUACGGGCAGUAAAAUGGUCAUAAGGGCUAUAACAACCUGGACGGUAAGGUCACGAAUAUUCUUACAGUGUAAGAUUUACGCCUUCUCUGAGGAUGGCAUAAUCAGCAUCGUUUGGGAUCCGGGCCAUAACGGAGUAAGGAGGAAUGAAAGUGCAGACGAUUUAGCAGUAAGGCUAAAUCGGGUCGACGGAGUCCUAGUUGAGGGCGUGGGCGACGAACGCGCAUGAAACACUGUGGUACAGCGAAACAGUCCGUAGGACGGCUAAAAUCCUAUGGGGACACACGGGUCUACGAGUUCACCUAUGCAAAAUCGAUGCGGCAAGUGAUAGCAUGUGGGGAAGAUGAUGAGACUUUGGAGCAUUUCCUAUGUCAUUGCCCGGCUUUCGAUGCUAAAAUAUACCGGUACUUAUGUGGGGACACAAUACCAGACAUGAACCAACUUAGGGGAAUAGUUACUUUUUAGUUUUAAGAGCGCUUGAUUACUGGCUUAGGUGCAGGUCUAUAGUGGCAAGGGGCGGAUUAAUAUCCGCACCCUUUUCAAACUAACCUAAUCUAUCAAGGUUUUUGCUACAAAUAUAAAUACCCCUAUUCCGGUUGGCGAUGGGGUUGUCGAAUCUCCAAAUUUUUACAAAAUGGUAUUAUGGUUAUCGAAGACGAAAAUUCGUUCACAUUUUUGGUAUCACGUAACGCAAGUCGAAUUCUCCUGUGCAUUUUACGAAAACGAUCGAUAUAUAAGUUAA